This 622-nucleotide long non-coding RNA is filed under the name Pan troglodytes (chimpanzee). RNAcentral's name for it is "lncRNA (ENSPTRG00000054006.1)". Lineage: Eukaryota; Metazoa; Chordata; Mammalia; Primates; Hominidae. The record is from RNAcentral.
GGGAUCAUGGUAAGAGGACCAGAGCUGGGUGGAGGUGGCCGACCUUUUGUGACUGGGGCCUUCACGGUUUUCAGGAGCCCCUGAUGAGAGUGGAGCUGAAAAAAGAAGCAGGGCUUGCGCUCGGGGGGGCACGAAGUACCGGGAGGAGUACUGCGAGGAGUCUUAGCACCUAUGGUCAGAGGGACUGAGGGAGCUGGCCGUGCGACUGGGCUUCGGGCCCUGUGCAGAGGAGCAGGCCUUCCUGAGCAGGAGGAAGCAGGUGGUGGCCGCGGCCUUGAGGCAGGCCCUGCAGCUGGACCUGCAGGAGGAUGAGGUUUGGGGGCUGGGCUGGACGGGGUGUCCCUGGGCUUGCUUGGGCCUAGCUCCUGGUGCUGAACACUGGAGCUGCUUGUCCCCGAUCUAGACCAGAGCUCGUAGCUGCCUGUCCCCACCCUGCUUCCUCCCACCUGGUGUUAGCAGGGACUUGGUACAGGCAGAGUGUUGCUUGAGGCACCUGGAGCCCACAUGGGAGCUACCUCAUAGGGCUGGCUUUCCUACUCUGUUUCUUGGUUCUCAGCCUAGCCUGUCUGAGGAGGGAGACAGAUAUCUGGUAUGAGGCCUGUUGGCCCAGGGUGCUUCAGGA